Molecule: ribosomal RNA, 744 nt
Filed under: uncultured bacterium
Lineage: Bacteria
Description: bacterial SSU rRNA
Rfam family: Bacterial small subunit ribosomal RNA
Source: RNAcentral
AGAGUUUGAUCCUGGCUCAGAGCGAACGCUGGCGGCAGGCUUAACACAUGCAAGUCGAGCGGGCGUAGCAAUACGUCAGCGGCAGACGGGUGAGUAACGCGUGGGAACGUACCUUUUGGUUCGGAACAACCCAGGGAAACUUGGGCUAAUACCGGAUAAGCCCUUACGGGGAAAGAUUUAUCGCCGAAAGAUCGGCCCGCGUCUGAUUAGCUAGUUGGUGAGGUAAUGGCUCACCAAGGCGACGAUCAGUAGCUGGUCUGAGAGGAUGAUCAGCCACAUUGGGACUGAGACACGGCCCAAACUCCUACGGGAGGCAGCAGUGGGGAAUAUUGGACAAUGGGCGCAAGCCUGAUCCAGCCAUGCCGCGUGAGUGAUGAAGGCCCUAGGGUUGUAAAGCUCUUUUGUGCGGGAAGAUAAUGACGGUACCGCAAGAAUAAGCCCCGGCUAACUUCGUGCCAGCAGCCGCGGUAAUACGAAGGGGGCUAGCGUUGCUCGGAAUCACUGGGCGUAAAGGGUGCGUAGGCGGGUCUUUAAGUCAGGGGUGAAAUCCUGGAGCUCAACUCCAGAACUGCCAUUGAUACUGAAGAUCUUGAGUUCGGGAGAGGUGAGUGGAACUGCGAGUGUAGAGGUGAAAUUCGUAGAUAUUCGCAAGAACACCAGUGGCGAAGGCGGCUCACUGGCCCGAUACUGACGCUGAGGCACGAAAGCGUGGGGAGCAAACAGGAUUAGAUACCCUCGUAGUCC